RNAcentral lists this long non-coding RNA (540 nucleotides) under Piliocolobus tephrosceles (Ugandan red Colobus). Its description in RNAcentral is "lncRNA (ENSPTEG00000020123.1)". Lineage: Eukaryota; Metazoa; Chordata; Mammalia; Primates; Cercopithecidae. The record is from RNAcentral.
UUUACAUAUAUAUAUUUAUAUAUAUAUUUACAUUUAUAUAUAUAUAUUUAUUAUACCUUAUUAUUUAAUAGAAAACAAUUGACUUAGACGUGUUGCGAACUCGAAUCGAUAAAGAUAAUGAGAAAACAAUUUAUUUUUUUAAUUUGUUUUUAAAUUAUGUAUGUAACAACUUUCAGUUUAAAUAUAAACAAGGGUUAAAUGAAAUACUAGCAUUUUUUUUUUCUCUUAAAGGAAAAUACUUUAACAUGGUUGAUGUUUAUUUCUGUUUUCAAAAUUUUGUUAAAGGAUUUGUUAAAGAGUUUUAUUAUGAUGAUGAAUUUUUUUUUUUGCAAGUCUCCUUUUAUUUGUUUAAAAUUUUGAUAAAGUAUCAUGAUCCGCAGUUAGCUGAAGUAUUAGGUAAAAAAAAAAAAAAAUUAAGUAAAAAAAAAAUUAAGUAAAAAAAAAAUUGAGUAAAAAAAAAAUUAAGUAAAAAAAAAUUAAGUAAAAAAAAACUAAGUAAAUAUAAAUAAAGUAAAUAUAAAAAUCGUUUUAAUAUUAUGC